AGUGUUUAUCCAACAUGUUAUCUACCAACACAGGUUAAUGUCUAAACUUUCUGAGUGUUUAUCCAACAUGUUAUCUACCAACACAGGUUAAUGUCUAAACUUUCUGAGUGUUUAUACAACAUGUUAUCUACCAACACAGGUUAAUGUCUAAACUUUCUGAGAGUGUUUAGCCAGCAUGUUAUCUACCAACACAGGUUAAUGUCUAAACUAUCUGAGAGUGUUUAGCCAACAUGUUAUCUACCAACACAGGUUAAUGUCUAAACUUUCUGAGUGUUUAUCCAACACGUUAUCUACCAACACAGGUAAAUGUCUAAACUUUCUGAGUGUUUAUCCAACAUGUUAUCUACCAACACAGGUUAAUGUCUAAACUUUCUGAGAGUGUUUAUCCAACAUGUUAUCUACCAACACAGGUUAAUGUCUAAACUUUCUGAGAGUGUUUAGCCAGCAUGUUAUCUACCAACACAGGUUAAUGUCUAAACUUUCUGAGAGUGUUUAUUCAACAUGUUAUCUACCAACACAGGUAAAUGUCUAAACUUUCUGAG
Molecule: long non-coding RNA, 542 nt
Filed under: Salmo salar (Atlantic salmon)
Lineage: Eukaryota; Metazoa; Chordata; Actinopteri; Salmoniformes; Salmonidae
Description: lncRNA (ENSSSAG00000102696.1)
Source: RNAcentral